This 441-nucleotide ribosomal RNA is filed under the name uncultured bacterium. RNAcentral describes it as "bacterial SSU rRNA". It matches the Rfam family "Bacterial small subunit ribosomal RNA", at positions 958 to 1402 of the family's 1533-position model. The record is from RNAcentral.
AACGCGAAGAACCUUACCUACCCUUGAAUCCUCGGAAGCUAGCAGAGAUGUUGGUGUGCCUUCGGGAGCCGAGAGACAGGUGCUGCAUGGCUGUCGUCAGCUCGUGUCGUGAGAUGUUAGGUUAAGUCCUGUAACGAGCGCAACCCCUUUCCUUAGUUACCAGCGGGUAAAGCCGGGGACUCUAAGGAUACUGCCGGUGAUAAACCGGAGGAAGGUGGGGACGAUGUCAAGUCAUCAUGGCCCUUACGGGUAGGGCUACACACGUGCUACAAUGGUCAGUACAAAAGGCAGCGAAGUCGCGAGAUGGAGCCAAUCCUCUAAAGCUGAUCGUAGUCCGGAUUGGAGUCUGCAACUCGACUCCAUGAAGCUGGAAUCGCUAGUAAUCGUAGAUCAGAACGCUACGGUGAAUACGUUCCCGGGCCUUGUACACACCGGACACGC